AAACGACUCUCGGCAACGGAUAUCCCGGCUCUCGCACGAUGA
This 42-nucleotide ribosomal RNA is filed under the name Chaerophyllum aurantiacum. RNAcentral describes it as "partial 5.8S ribosomal RNA". Lineage: Eukaryota; Viridiplantae; Streptophyta; Magnoliopsida; Apiales; Apiaceae. The record is from RNAcentral.